Molecule: long non-coding RNA, 234 nt
Organism: Ailuropoda melanoleuca (giant panda)
Lineage: Eukaryota; Metazoa; Chordata; Mammalia; Carnivora; Ursidae
Exons: 3
Source: RefSeq, a predicted model, not a curated record
AAGGAAGAUAAAGAACCAGCAAACAGAACAAAAAUAAAAGCAAAAAAGAACUUUCAAAAAACUAAUUAUAGAUUCAGCGAGAAUUAGAAUGGUUCAUGGAAAGAAAAUGGGACUUUCAAGCAUGCAAUCAAUACCUGCACAAGCAUAUGUGACCAGUAUGAAGCCCUGGAAUAAAAGUCAUUUUGGACUGGAAGUCUGAUCCUAAACUUAUUAAGACCUCAGAGAGUAUAAGGU